Humulus lupulus (European hop) is the source of this 677-nucleotide long non-coding RNA. RefSeq lists it as uncharacterized. Lineage: Eukaryota; Viridiplantae; Streptophyta; Magnoliopsida; Rosales; Cannabaceae. The transcript is spliced from 7 exons. The record is from RefSeq and is a predicted model, not a curated record.
GACAACCUGCUGGCUGGGUUUGAAUAUGCAGGGAUUUGACUAUUUAUUUAAUGACUUGGUGCAGGAUCUAAAUAGAUUUAUUGAUGAGAAGAGUGAAAGCAGAGGAGAAAAAAUUUAGCGGCUUUACAAGAUACUGAAAGAGCACAAGAAUCCCAAGGUUCUUAGCGAGGGGCUACUGUGGAUGGUUUCAGCAGUGGAAGAUUUUGGCAUCUCACAUUUGAAACUUAAGAUAUUAAAGGGUUUCUUUCUGAUGUUAAACAUGCACUUCUUAGUGCACUGGAUACGGAGUAUGAGAAGAAUCCAUUUGAGGGUGCAGCAGCAGCUCCAAAGAGAACUAUUAAAUCAGCAGAACCUACAUCUGCAUCUUCUGGUGGACUAGAUGGCCUGCCACGGGAAGAUAUUAGUGGGAAGAUUACACCUACCCUGCUUAAAGGCUUAGAAAGUACUGAUUGGAAGGCUCGCUUGGAGUCAAUUGAAGCUGUGAAUAAAGUUUUGGAAGAGGCUAACAAGCGCGUCCAACCCAAUGGAACUGUUGAAUUGUUUGGUGCUCUAAGGGGUCGUCUAGGUGACAGCAACAAAAAUUUAGUCAUGGCAACAUUGACAUGCAUUGGCAAUGUUGCAUGUGCAAUGGGUCCAGCUGUUGAGAAAGCAAGCAAGCGGAUGUUUUGAAAUGUUUG